GGCACAUUGGCGCAAUGGUAGCGCUUCGCGCUAAUAACGCGAAGGUUGUGGGUUCGAGUCCUUCAUGUGCCA
Molecule: non-coding RNA, 72 nt
Organism: Spodoptera litura
Lineage: Eukaryota; Metazoa; Arthropoda; Insecta; Lepidoptera; Noctuidae
Source: the annotation of a RefSeq genome assembly